UAUAUGUUUGUGUCUCAUUGCCUCACUAGCCUGAAAAAUUUCAGGUCAUCUUAAUCUUGCCUCAAGUUAGGUCAAGUAACUUGACCCACGUGCUUAUCUUAAAAGAUUCAUAGAGGGGCAGCUGUCUUGCCAGGGCUGCUUCCUAUCAGCUUCUUCCAUCAGCAGCUCGUCCCUGCUUCUGUGUGGUAGGUAACACUGCUUCUUGAGAACUGUUAGGCCAUCUUUUCGGCUGAAUUUUGGGUUUACUCCAUUUUAGUAUUGUAGUUUUUUCUCCUCAGCCCUACUUUCCCUUCUCUUUAUCCUUUUUAGUCUUUUCUGAAGACUCUUAUAUAUUCCUUGGUCCUUCUCUGUUGUUAAGAACCUUAACUUUUUUUUAGUUAUUCCCCUCCCCCCACCGAUUCUAAAGGAGCAUAUGCUAAUGAUAGAAAAAUCAGAAAAAGC
This 441-nucleotide long non-coding RNA is filed under the name Bos taurus (domestic cattle). Its description in RNAcentral is "long non-coding RNA NONBTAT011925". Lineage: Eukaryota; Metazoa; Chordata; Mammalia; Artiodactyla; Bovidae. The record is from RNAcentral.